GGCGACUCUCCUUUCGGGUCCACUUCCCUUGAGUCCAUACAGAACUGAAGUGGGCACCCCAUCCAAAAGAACUGGCAUCUGUCGUAAUAACCUUCCAAGGGGGUUCUUCCAACAGGAAGCCUGUUGUCAGAUUCCUCUCGCUUUUCCACCAGUUUAAGCCCUUCCUCACGGGCAGGGGAAGAGAGAUCCUCUGCUCCCAAUCCGUUUCCACCCUGUCGAACUGGAGAAGAAAGCAAUUGUGGGCUGGACAGAACUUCCACUGGGCCCACUUCACCAACCCUAUUGUCGAUGUCAAGGAACC
Pelobates cultripes (western spadefoot toad) is the source of this 301-nucleotide non-coding RNA. NCBI's taxonomy places the organism in Eukaryota, Metazoa, Chordata, Amphibia, Anura, Pelobatidae. The record is from the annotation of a GenBank genome assembly.